CUUCGGAUCCUGAGGCCAAAGAUCGCACCGGCUUGCCGGUGCUGUCUCCAGGGGAUGGGCCCGCGUCCGAUUAGCUAGUUGGCGAGGUAAUGGCUCACCAAGGCUACGAUCGGUAGCUGGUCUGAGAGGAUGAUCAGCCACACUGGAACUGAAACACGGUCCAGACUCCUACGGGAGGCAGCAGUGAGGAAUAUUGCGCAAUGGGGGAAACCCUGACGCAGCAACGCCGCGUGGGUGAAGAAGGCCUUCGGGUCGUAAAGCCCUUUCGGACGGGACGAACGCUUCGCGGCGAAAGCCGCGGAGUCUGACGGUACCGUAUGAAGAAGCACCGGCUAACUCCGUGCCAGCAGCCCGCGGUAAUACGGAGGGUGCGAGCGUUGUUCGGAAUUACUGGGCGUAAAGCGCGUGUAUGCGGCCUUUCAAGUCAGGCGUGAAAGCCCUUC
This 443-nucleotide ribosomal RNA is filed under the name uncultured bacterium. RNAcentral describes it as "bacterial SSU rRNA". It matches the Rfam family "Bacterial small subunit ribosomal RNA", at positions 186 to 606 of the family's 1533-position model. The record is from RNAcentral.